RNAcentral lists this ribosomal RNA (253 nucleotides) under uncultured bacterium. RNAcentral's name for it is "partial 16S ribosomal RNA". It matches the Rfam family "Bacterial small subunit ribosomal RNA", at positions 524 to 776 of the family's 1533-position model. The record is from RNAcentral.
UACGUAGGGGGCUAGCGUUGUCCGGAUUUAUUGGGCGUAAAGAGCGUGUAGGCGGCCCGGUAAGUCCGCUGUAAAAGUCAAAGGCUCAACCUUUGAAUGUCAGUGGUUACUGCCGGGCUAGAGUCCGGAAGAGGCGAGUGGAACUCCUGGUGUAGCGGUGGAAUGCGCAGAUAUCAGGAAGAACACCAACGGCGAAGGCAGCUCGCUAGGACGGUACUGACGCUGAGACGCGAAAGCGUGGGGAGCGAACAGG